CAUGAGUGGUGUUCGGCGCGUUGCGUCCGCGGAUUCCCCUGCCCGUGCAGCCGACCGCGGGCGCAUCGCGCGUCUCGUUCGUCCCAACGCGACUCGACGGCUUGGAGGGCUCCCUCGGUGCGGUCUGUGCUUCGUAGCCAGAAUGCGGCAACCUCGCGACCGACGACCGGACGUCGGCUCUCCCCUCCCUCCGGCGGGGCGAGCCGACCGGCUGCGGCCCCCUGCUCCCUGCGUUGCUCUCGGCGAACGGGCGGCCCUCGGGGCGAUCGCGUGCUAUGCGGAUCGGUGGAAACGGUUGAGCCCGGGGCUUUCGCGCCCCGGCCGCUCUUCGGAGUGGCUGGCGAGGCGGAGAGGCGCGGCGCGGGUCCCGACCCCAUCCGCGCACCCGCCGGACCUGCCGGCGCGGCGUUCGAACGACCGCCGGCGCGUUCCGACCCCCGACCCGCUGGCCGGGGACGGCGGGAGGCCUCGCGCGCGGCGUCGC
RNAcentral lists this unclassified non-coding RNA (484 nucleotides) under Lemna minor. Its description in RNAcentral is "partial external transcribed spacer". Lineage: Eukaryota; Viridiplantae; Streptophyta; Magnoliopsida; Alismatales; Araceae. The record is from RNAcentral.